GCCAAAUUUUUUACUGACAAUAAGUUUUUUUUGUACGUAGGUGUUCGUCCGACUUGACCUUCUCCAACGUUAGCUGGAGUCGUACGCGUUCUCAGGAUGGCGCAGUUCCACUUGCUGGACCCUCACUACGACGAGCACCACAGGGGCCGUCUCACCGCAGAGGGAGAGGUGUUGCCCGUUCUGCGGGUCCGGACCCACGACCGGUUUCUGGAGGAGAUGAGGUACGAUGAGAGGUACACUCCUCUCCUACAGAGGGCUGGCUUGGACGUCUUAUCGUACCAGGUCCGCCGUGGGCU
This is a long non-coding RNA of Zea mays, 296 nucleotides long. RefSeq lists it as uncharacterized. NCBI's taxonomy places the organism in Eukaryota, Viridiplantae, Streptophyta, Magnoliopsida, Poales, Poaceae. The record is from RefSeq and is a predicted model, not a curated record. The transcript has 3 exons.